CGGAAUCGAGGGAGAGCCAGGCAGAUCGAUCGGUUGCUCAGUCUAGUUUCGUACGGCCACAUCGAUGACGACGGUGGAGGAGAUCCAGGUAGGUCGGUUGCUCGGUCUGGCUCCGUACGGCCACAUUGACGACGACGACAGUGGAAGAGAUCCAUGCAGGUCGGUCGCUCGGCCUGGUUCCGUACGGCCACAUCGACGACGACGACGACGGUGGAAGAGAUCCAGGCAGGUCGGUUGCUCGGCCUAGUUCCGUAUGGCCACAUCGACGACGGUGGAGGAGAUCCAGGCAGGUCUGUUGCUUGGUCUGGCUUCGUACGGCCACAUCUACGACGACAACGGUGGAGGAGAUCCAGGCAGGUCGAUUGCUCGAUCUGGUUCCGUAUGGCCACAUCGACGAUGACGGUGGAGGAGAUCAGGUUGCUGACGGCGGAGGGUCUGCUGACGCGAGUGGCG
This 453-nucleotide long non-coding RNA is filed under the name Rosa chinensis. RNAcentral's name for it is "sRNA RchiOBHm_Chr6g0288441". The record is from RNAcentral. Lineage: Eukaryota; Viridiplantae; Streptophyta; Magnoliopsida; Rosales; Rosaceae.